CAUGUCUUUUUGAUUUUGAUUUAAAGUUUAAUCUGCCCAUAUGAUUUAAAUUUAAUGGCCGCAGUAUUUUGACUGUGCAAAGGUAGCGUAAUAAUUAGUUUCUUAAUUGGGAGCUGGAAUGAAUGAUUGGACGAGAAAAUUUCUGUCUUUAAUUUAAUUAAUUAAAAUUUAUUUUUAAGUUAAAAAGCUUAAAUAUUUUUAGGGGACGAGAAGACCCUAUAGAGUUUAAUAUUAAUUUUUAUUUAUUUUUUUUGGUUAUUAUUUUAAAAUAAUUAUUAGUAUUUUGUUGGGGUGAUAGAAAGAUUUAAUUAACUCUUUUUAAAAUAAACAUUGAUUUUUGAAUUUUAUGAUCUAUUAUUUAAUAUUAAGAUUAAAUUACCUUAGGGAUAACAGCGUAAUUUUUUAUGAAGUUCUUAUUUGUAUAAAAGAUUGCGACCUCGAUGUUGGAUUAAAUAUAAAAUUAAGGUGUAGAAGCUUUAAUUUUAGGUCUGUUCGACCUUUAAAAUUUUACAUGAUCUGAGU
RNAcentral lists this ribosomal RNA (522 nucleotides) under Eucnemidae sp. UPOL RK0355. RNAcentral describes it as "partial 16S ribosomal RNA". The stretch from base 386 to 522 matches the Rfam family "Archaeal large subunit ribosomal RNA", at positions 2542 to 2679 of the family's 2987-position model. Lineage: Eukaryota; Metazoa; Arthropoda; Insecta; Coleoptera; Eucnemidae. The record is from RNAcentral.